AGAACCGGAGGACGGAACAGGCAGCCGUCACCCUUUGUUUGGAGAUGCGGGAAGCGUCCCCCCGCCCGGUUUC
This 73-nucleotide non-coding RNA is filed under the name unclassified sequences. RNAcentral describes it as "skipping-rope RNA". It matches the Rfam family "skipping-rope RNA". Rfam says of the family: Firmicutes, Fusobacteria, AlphaProteobacteria, Spirochaetes. Downstream gene The record is from Rfam by way of RNAcentral.